CAUUAAGUGACUGAAAGUAAGUAAUGGUCUCUUAAACCAAUUUAUAGUAUUUAACAAUUACUCUUAUUGA
Molecule: transfer RNA, 70 nt
Filed under: Gaeana maculata
Lineage: Eukaryota; Metazoa; Arthropoda; Insecta; Hemiptera; Cicadidae
Description: tRNA-Lys
Source: RNAcentral